CAGAGCGUAACAACUCUCAAACCACUGUGAACCUACCACUGUUGCUUCGGCGGUGAGCCGCGCGCCCCCCCGGGCGCCGGCUCUUCCAAGCCGCCGGAGGCCCCCUAAACUGUAUCUCAGCUGUGGCAUUAUCUGAGUAGCGAAAGCAAAACAAAUGAAUCA
Molecule: unclassified non-coding RNA, 162 nt
Filed under: uncultured Ascomycota
Lineage: Eukaryota; Fungi; Ascomycota
Description: sequence contains ITS1
Source: RNAcentral